CAGUGAUAUUCGUCAUCGAUGUUUGUUAUGCAUGCGAAAUGGAAACACUGAGUUUGUCAAACUUUAAAAAGUUCAUGGCAUACCCAUGGUUAGUUUGGGUGUUUACACAUCUUGACUGCUUUGAAGAUAUAGGUGAAGAUAAUGAAGAAAUACGAACAGCACACUUCAAAAAAGAUUCAGGAAUGAAAUAUACGAAGGAGCACAGAUUUCUGCCUAUCUGCUCCAGUUGACGAGAUGUAUCUGGGGCAAGGUAUUCGCGUACCGGCAAGCUUCAUAUUGGUUAUAGAGUUCCAUCCUU
This is a long non-coding RNA of Papaver somniferum (opium poppy), 298 nucleotides long. RefSeq lists it as uncharacterized. The record is from RefSeq and is a predicted model, not a curated record. The transcript has 3 exons. NCBI's taxonomy places the organism in Eukaryota, Viridiplantae, Streptophyta, Magnoliopsida, Ranunculales, Papaveraceae.